Small nucleolar RNA from Nymphaea colorata (pocket water lily), 71 nucleotides. RefSeq annotates it as small nucleolar RNA R66. Lineage: Eukaryota; Viridiplantae; Streptophyta; Magnoliopsida; Nymphaeales; Nymphaeaceae. The transcript has a single exon. The record is from RefSeq and is a predicted model, not a curated record.
UCUGCUGAUGGCAAGUAAUCUUUGUGGCCUGAUUUUUAUUUUAUGAACAUCCCAAGCAUUUUUCUGAGGAC